GUAGGUGGCACCGUGUUUGCACAGUAACAGACCUAUAGCUUGCUCUUGGUAAAUAACUUAGUCAGCAGAAACCAGAACAUUCCCUGGCUGUAGAACUUGGCAGAGACAACAGGCUUAAGAUAAAUUUUCGAUGCAGAGGUCACGAGAAUAUGAUGAGAUCCAGAAAACAAAGCAUCAAUCAUCGCAGUGAAGAUGGUGAUCUGGAUCAGAUCCAAUCAUUUGUAGUGGUAACUUCAUGGAGUUCUUCUUGUAAAUUAGAGCAGUUGAGUGCUGAGGAAGAACAGAGUUAGCAGCCUAAGUGGGAAGCCUCUCGUUUUCAAGAAAGAUUGAUAUUUAUGGAUUUUGAAGAAACUAUUUGGAAAGUCAAAUAUCUAACAGCUGUAAGGAAGAAGGGAAGAAUUAGAGAUGAGGGUUAACUUUCAGCAAAAAACUGCAUGUCUCACAGUAGAAAAGCACAAAUAUUAUCAUUUCCUGAAUAUUUUCAUUGGAUAUUGCACACUAAAGAUACCACAAUCCUGCUCACUGGUAACUCUGGCUGAAUGGCACAUCUCAGUGUCUGCAGAGUAGUCUUAACAGCGGCCCACAAAACUUUGGAUAUAUGAAGCAGAUCUUAGGAAAUCUCAACACCGGGCAACUCCAGUUUUUUAUUAUUGUGUAAAAAAAUGUAAUAGUUGAAGUUAAAAUUUAUGAAAACUCAGAUUAAAUGUUCAACUUUUGGAUGGAUAAAGCUGGGUCUGACAAAUAUCUUAAAGCAUUUUCCGGUCAUCAUCAAAGAAUGACUUCCAAUAGCUUCAAAGGCUGAGUCUUUGGCCUUAAGUUUGAGAAAACAAAUGGGAUUCCAUGUCCACAGAGCCAGCAAGAACCUAAUAUGUACCUUUAAUACAAUCUUAGUUUCAGGCUGUGCUGUAGUAUUAGUAAGCUGCAGAGAAAGUACUGAAAACCCCUCAGACUAUAUGGAAGUUAAGAGCUAAGGGUAAUCAUUAUAUUUCAGGUUGGAGCUGAAGGACAUGAAAACAAGAUUUCUUGUCAAAGAUAUUCCUGGUUGAUUAUGCUAUGCACUUCCAUAGGUGAAAUACUGACCUCUUGACAUCACUAGAAAUUUUGUCUUCAGUUUAAUAGAGACUCAAUUUCACUGUAGGCAUCCAACCGGCCAAAUACAUAAUCUAGGAGAUAACUGAAAUAUACAGUCAUAUUUUUUUUGUUUCUGCUUGGGCUAUUUUAUGACAAGUUCAAAGUGUGGUACAUGUACAGGUAUUCUUGUGAUGAGCAUUUUAUAAAUGGA
Coturnix japonica (Japanese quail) is the source of this 1282-nucleotide long non-coding RNA. The record is from Ensembl. Lineage: Eukaryota; Metazoa; Chordata; Aves; Galliformes; Phasianidae.